UGGGGAAUUUUGGACAAUGGGCGCAAGCCUGAUCCAGCCAUGCCGCGUGCGGGAAGAAGGCCUUCGGGUUGUAAACCGCUUUUGUCAGGGAAGAAAUCUUCUGAGUUAAUACCUCGGGGAGGAUGACGGUACCUGAAGAAUAAGCACCGGCUAACUACGUGCCAGCAGCCGCGGUAAUACGUAGGGUGCAAGCGUUAAUCGGAAUUACUGGGCGUAAAGCGUGCGCAGGCGGUUUUGUAAGACAGAGGUGAAAUCCCCGGGCCCAACCUGGGAACUGCCUUUGUGACUGCAAGGCUUGAGUGCGGCAGAGGGGGGAUGGAAUUCCGCGUGUAGCAGUGAAAUGCGUAGAUAUGCGGAGGAACACCGAUGGCGAAGGCAAUCCCCCUGGGCCUGCACUGACGCUCAUGCACGAAAGCGUGGGGAGCAAAACAGGAUUAGAUACCCUGGUAGUCCACGCCCUAAACGAUGUCAACUGGUUGUU
Molecule: ribosomal RNA, 481 nt
Filed under: uncultured bacterium
Lineage: Bacteria
Description: partial 16S ribosomal RNA
Rfam family: Bacterial small subunit ribosomal RNA
Source: RNAcentral